GAGUAACACGUAUCCAACCUGCCGUCUACUCUUGGACAGCCUUCUGAAAGGAAGAUUAAUACAAGAUGGCAUCAUGAGUCCGCAUGUUCACAUGAUUAAAGGUAUUCCGGUAGACGAUGGGGAUGCGUUCCAUUAGAUAGUAGGCGGGGUAACGGCCCACCUAGUCUUCGAUGGAUAGGGGUUCUGAGAGGAAGGUCCCCCACCAUUGGAACUGAGACACGGUCCAGACUCCUACGGGAGGCAGCAUG
This 248-nucleotide ribosomal RNA is filed under the name uncultured bacterium. Its description in RNAcentral is "partial 16S ribosomal RNA". It matches the Rfam family "Bacterial small subunit ribosomal RNA", at positions 108 to 353 of the family's 1533-position model. The record is from RNAcentral.